This 320-nucleotide long non-coding RNA is filed under the name Salvia miltiorrhiza (redroot sage). RNAcentral's name for it is "long non-coding RNA (SMIL_LNC011735)". Lineage: Eukaryota; Viridiplantae; Streptophyta; Magnoliopsida; Lamiales; Lamiaceae. The record is from RNAcentral.
GACCCUGCUUAUCACGAUACUAAUAUAUUUUGAUAAUUCUACAGGAAUUAUUUGGUGGUAUACGACGUCCACCAAAUUGGCGCCGUUGCCGGGGAGCGGUGUUAAUUAAUUCUUUUCCCUUUGUCUAUUUUUUUUCUUUUAUUUUCUUUGUUUAUGAGCAGAUCGUCCAAGCCGAACCUCCUCUACGAUAGUGAAAUUGAGAAGACCGCGAAGAAACUAAGGAAAGAGGCGAAGGCGAGGAAGUUACUGGAUCUGCUGGAUUCACAGUCCGACCUUUCUGUUCGAACGGAGCAGUUAGUCGAGGAGAAGCCUGGUGCUGU